UCCAGUGUGACAUAGUGGUUGGAGCAUUGGACUGCAACUCUGGAGACCAGGGUUCGAUUCCCAGCUCAGCCA
Non-coding RNA from Phrynosoma platyrhinos (Desert horned lizard), 72 nucleotides. Lineage: Eukaryota; Metazoa; Chordata; Lepidosauria; Squamata; Phrynosomatidae. The record is from the annotation of a GenBank genome assembly.